Molecule: transfer RNA, 76 nt
Filed under: Nitrospinae bacterium RIFCSPLOWO2_12_FULL_45_22
Lineage: Bacteria; Pseudomonadati; Nitrospinota
Description: tRNA-Met
Rfam family: tRNA
About the family: Transfer RNA (tRNA) molecules are approximately 80 nucleotides in length. Their secondary structure includes four short double-helical elements and three loops (D, anti-codon, and T loops). Further hydrogen bonds mediate the characteristic L-shaped molecular structure. tRNAs have two regions of fundamental functional importance: the anti-codon, which is responsible for specific mRNA codon recognition, and the 3' end, to which the tRNAs corresponding amino acid is attached (by aminoacyl-tRNA synthetases). tRNAs cope with the degeneracy of the genetic code in two manners: having more than one tRNA (with a specific anti-codon) for a particular amino acid; and 'wobble' base-pairing, i.e. permitting non-standard base-pairing at the 3rd anti-codon position.
Source: RNAcentral
GGGCCCAUAGCUCAACUGGCAGAGCCACCGGCUCAUAACCGGAAGGUUCCUGGUUCGAACCCAGGUGGGCCCACUA